This 691-nucleotide long non-coding RNA is filed under the name Eucalyptus grandis. RNAcentral's name for it is "long non-coding RNA (EGRA_LNC002654)". Lineage: Eukaryota; Viridiplantae; Streptophyta; Magnoliopsida; Myrtales; Myrtaceae. The record is from RNAcentral.
GUCAAUCAAUUCACAACAUCAAAUCAAAGCAAUGAUCAAUCGACCACGUCGAUUACAUGUCAGCUUGACCAUUUCCCGGUCAUUCAAGCUAUUGCUAUUCAGACUCAAUUAACAAAACCAAUCACCGAGCCAUGUGCAUUCUCCGAGGUAAUGAAUUACUUUACCGAGCCCACGUGCCCUUUAAUGCCAUUAUGAAUCAGCGAGCCCACGUGCAUUCUCCGAGGCGAUGCAUCGAGUCACUGAGCCCACGUGUCUCUUCAAGAUGCCAAAUGAACUCAUUGGGACCACGUGCAUUCUCUGAGGUAAUGCAUCAAAUUACCGAGCCCACGUGUCCUUUUAGAUGCCAAAUGUACUCAUUGAGACCACGUGCAUUCUCCGAGGUAAUGCAUCAAAUUACCGAGCCCACGUGUCUCUUCAAGAUGCCAAAUGAACUCAUUGGGACCACGUGCAUUCUCCGAGGUAAUGCAUCAAUGCAUCAAAUUACCGAGCCCAUGUGUCCUUUUAGAUGCCAAAUGUACUCAUUGAGACCACGUGCAUUCUCCGAGGUAAUGCAUCAAAUUACCGAGCCCACGUGUCUCUUUUAGGAUGCCACACUUAAUCACCGAGCCACAUGCAUUCUCCAAGGCGACAUACUUCGUCACCGAGCCAUGUGCAUUCUCCGAGGUGAUAUAUCUAAUCAUCAAGCCCCGUG